This 1039-nucleotide long non-coding RNA is filed under the name Mus musculus (house mouse). RNAcentral's name for it is "Hand2, opposite strand 1". Lineage: Eukaryota; Metazoa; Chordata; Mammalia; Rodentia; Muridae. The record is from RNAcentral.
GCCGAGGUCCUCUUCUAGGAUUGGUUGUCCACUCAUAACCAUAAGAUAAUUAAAACGGGGGGGGGCAGGGUAAAAAAAAAACCCUUUUAUCAGCCAUAGGUUAAUGCAAGUGUUUAACAGAUGCUUCGCUAUUAAAAUAUUUCCCCCCAAUACUGAAGAAUCUUAAACCAGCAACCCUAACAGAGAUUGCGAAGAUUUUCAAAGUGGGGCACCUCGAUUUCUCGAAUCUGUGGUGUGGCGAAUAUCCGUGUUCCUCCUGCUUAACUAGCCUGUUUGAAGGCACAGUUCAUUCUCGAGCAAUUCGUCACCUCCUGGGGGUCUUCUCUUCCCGUCUACAGGAGAGUGUGACUUCAGAAAGAACUUCGGAUUGGCCAAGGCCAUUAAAGCUGGUGAGCGACUUGGAAGUCAUUUAGAAAGGAACAGACCUUCAACCUCAAGCCUUUGCGGGCACUGGGAAAGUGUCUUCCCAAUCAAUCUGGCUUGCAGGCGGCAGGACCAACUCUGACCUGGCUUAUCUUGUACCCAUCCUAAAUACACCAAACUCAAGAGGUAGCCAGGGCCGCCUCAACACCGAGGCAGGUCUGAUUCUAUUUAUUCUAAAGACAGAGUUGGAGAUGGGCUACCAUUGGUGUUGAUUGAGAUGACAAGCAGUCACCUGAGCCCAUACAGCUGUCGGUUUUUUUUUUUUUUUUUUUGUCAAACCCAGGGUUCACAGAUGUGGCUAGUCUUGCUAGCCAGCUCGCACUGUGGACAUUCUAGGGAACUGACUGCAGUCCUCAUGCUUGGAGUCAAACACUUUAACCACUGCACACGUUUAUGUAAUAGGAUUGACAUAUGAGAAUCAGAGAAAUGAAUGAAAGAUUAGAGUGGGAGAAAGUGCUUGCUGCCAAGCUUGAUGACCUAAAUUGAAUACCUGGAACCUACACGACAGAAAGAGAGAGCUGACUGCUGAAAGAUGUCCUCAGAUCUUCACAUGUGCACAGUGGCACCUAUCCAACCAUGCACAUAGUAUAUUAAAAAUUAUUUUUUAAAAAAUCCA